Paramuricea clavata is the source of this 962-nucleotide non-coding RNA. The record is from the annotation of a GenBank genome assembly. Lineage: Eukaryota; Metazoa; Cnidaria; Anthozoa; Malacalcyonacea; Plexauridae.
CAGUCUUUGAAAAGCGAUAAUUUUUACGGAAAAGCGAUAAUUGAAAAGCGAUAAUUUUCACAUGUGAAAUUAUCAUAAAUAAUCUCUAAAUAAUCUAGCGGACUAGGCCUUAUACAUUUCAAACAGUGGCGGAAACUAGGGGGGGGGGCGAGGGGGAGUGAUCCCCCCCCCCAAAAAAAAAAAAAAAUUACUAAAAUUAUAUUUUAGCUAGAUUUCAUAAUUCAAUUUGAAAAAUGAAAGCACAACAUAAGGAUGCACUAUUUGUUACAAUAACAACAGCAACGAAAUGGUAAGUUUUAAUAGAAACAAGCUAAAAACAAGCUAAAGUAUUCUAAAUUUAUGAUCUCACAAGUCACACAAUGAGUGUUAUGCAUUCUGAAAAAAGUCAGAUUAAAUUAGUUUUAAGCGCUAGCUGCGCUACAAGUCUUUACUUAAACUGUACUAUUCGGGAUUUUUGAUUUACCCAUCGAUCAAGCACUUUGUCCAAGUUUAUCCUUUUUAACAGGUUUUUAUUCAUGGAUAGCAACAUAAAGUCACUGGCCAACGCUAAUGCAUGCACGCUUCAAACUUGUCAAAGCCAAAGCUGACAUUUUAAACGAAAACAAAAGCGUGAAAAGGUUUGACAAAGUCUGUGCCGACUUGGGGCAAAUCGGGGGGCGAAACGAUUUGUAUUCAUUACGAGCACAGCUCACUAUCCGAUUCAUAACACUGAAGCUUCUUUCCACGGUUGCAGUAACAAUUGGCAAGGUCUUUGAUAUGGCGAUCACCUUGAAUAAGUUGGGGGUACAGCUCAGCGCCGAUGUUCUUUCCAGCAAGCAAUUAGAAUCUUCGCCCGUUCGCACUCGGUUUUAAACAAGGCAGAGUCAAUAUGGAGACAAUACCAAUGAAUGUAACCUUAGGCGAGACUUUUUUAUUUAUUGGUUUGCGGAUUUUACUUGAAAAAAACCAGGUCGGUAGGUCGG